AUACGGAGGAUCCGAGCGUUAUCCGGAUUUAUUGGGUUUAAAGGGUGCGCAGGCGGCCAUUUAAGUCAGCGGUUAAAUCGUGGGGCUCAACCCCAUUCUGCCGUUGAUACUGGGUGGCUUGAUUGCGGUCGAGGUUGGCGGACUUCGUUGUGUAGCGGUGAAAUGCAUAGAUAUGACGAAGAACACCGAUUGCGUAGGCAGCUGACCAGAACGCAAAUGACGCUCAUGCACGAAAGUGCGGGGAUCGAACAGGAUUAGAUACCCUGGUAGUCCGCACAGUAAACGAUGAAUACUUGUUUUCGGCGAUAUAAUGUCGGAGGCAAAGCGAAAGCGAUAAGUAUUCCACCUGGGGAGUACGCCGGCAACGGUGAAACUCAAAUGAAUUGGCGGGG
Molecule: ribosomal RNA, 392 nt
Filed under: uncultured bacterium
Lineage: Bacteria
Description: partial 16S ribosomal RNA
Rfam family: Bacterial small subunit ribosomal RNA
Source: RNAcentral